This 1206-nucleotide long non-coding RNA is filed under the name Homo sapiens (human). RNAcentral's name for it is "long independently transcribed non-coding RNA 1099 (LINC01099)". The record is from RNAcentral. Lineage: Eukaryota; Metazoa; Chordata; Mammalia; Primates; Hominidae.
GGAGAAAAAGAGGAGGAAUGGCAAAGGCUGAUUGACUUUGUCAGCUACUUACUUUAAAAAACAUUUGAGAAAGCCAGAAAGCAGAGGGGAGGAAGCUCCACCGUCAUGAGAAUGGGAAGCAGAGGCAGCGGCAGCGUGCACAGACAUCCUUUGAAGGUUUGUUAUAAACACAGAAACUGAUGUCUGGGAAAAGGGCCAGUUGGGUUAUCCUUCUUGUUUCAUUGUUUGUCCUGCUUAAAAUUGAGAAUGAACAGAGACUCACUGAUUUCAUCUUCUGAAUUUGAAAAGAAUGACACACAUUGCCCUGCAAUUCAGGUCUGACUUCAGCUGCAGGAAGACAGACCCCCAACCCAGAACAACCCUGCGUGGGGAAUCCUUCGGGAAAAGGCUAAGCAAAAUACAACACUGGAAUUUGGGGAGGGGCUUGGAGAGUUUGUUUUUAAAAGUCUUGAGCAAUAAAUCAUCUAACCACAAGAGUAAGAAAAUUAGUUUUCAACUUUAAUUUCUUUGGUCUUUCAGUUUUAACAGGCACACCUUUAACAUUCAUUUUCGACCCACUGAAGAGGAGAUGAGCUUAUUGGCUGGUGCACCUUGACAGCAUGUAGGUGGAAAACAGGACAUUCAGUCUUUGGUGCAGAGUGGGAGAUACUUAUGAACCAUUUUAGCACAUUUCAGGACCAUGUAACAAAAUCAACACUGCAUUGAAGUGGCAUCAGGAAGAUCCAUCCACAGAAGCAAUGUCUGCUAUGCAGGAAGCAGCUUCAUCAAGGUGGAAGCAGGUCUGUGCUUCCAGGCUGGCCAGUAUCGUUCAUGAAAACAGCACAUUGUGGCUGACUAUGGUUUGAAGAAACAAAGGAAGCCAAAGAAAACAAAAAAUGCUAACGGAGAAUUUAAUCCAUCUCUCAGAGGUGGAAGAAGUUUCAUUUGAAUUGCUCCCUGUUCUUUUACUCUUCUUUCCCCCGAAAGGGAGUGUGGUAGAUUGAGUUUAGAAGACAGCCCUGAACAUGUAUGGUUCAGCCCUUUUGCUCCAUUUUGUCUUGGAGAAGGGCUGGAUUCUGUGCUAUUCUCCUGUGCUUUAAGUUUUGUAGCUACGGGAUUUAUCUAACACAGCCUGACUGGUUUGGAAAGUCUGUCUUAUUUUGAUGUUUUCUGUUACCUAGCCCGCUAACAUUUUUUUCAAGAAAUAUAGCUAGUAUUGUCUCCCUC